GCAAGAUAGCCCACGCACUCAAACCCCCCUCUGUCUGGUCCUUUAUCACCUGUUUGUGUCAAGUCCCGCUCAAGGCUGAGCACUCAACCCCCCCUGGGCCAACAAGGCAGCUUGCAGACCCAGAGGCCCCAUUAGAUUUGGGCUAUAAAAACUCCCUCCUGCCCGGCCCCCCUCUCUCUCCCUCUCUCUCUUGCUCUUUCUCUCUUGCUCUCUCUCUUGCUCUUUAUCUUUCUUACGCGCGCUCUCUGUCUCUCUCUUGCUCUUGCUCUCUCCCUGUUCAUCUCUUCUCUUUUCUCUCUCUCUCUUUCCUUCUUUCUUUUCUCUUUGUUGCACUGCUGCAAUAAAGAUCUCUUGGUCGCUCCGAGUGUUGUGGUCACUUUCCUUUCAUUGGUGCCGAAACCCGGGAGAGGGUUAAAACCCACUUUUGGGUCCCUCUUCCUUCGGAAGUGCCACUCACCGGAUGGCCUGAACCCAGGCCUGAACCCAUUUUCUCGAUCGCCAGAACUCCAUCCACCACCGACCUUCGAUUGGAGGGGUCCCGAAAAGAAAAGCCUUGGCCAAGGUCUCCCACGGCUCCAGCUCCAUCCAGGACGAGAGCUUCGACUGUCAGGAUUUGGUGACGACCAAUCUCUGCAGCUCGAACCUGCCACUAAGGCACUCCUAAGGCUCUAGCGGGAACGCCCCUUUUGCCAAUAAAUCAGUUUCCUCCUUCUCUCUUA
This is a long non-coding RNA of Marmota monax (woodchuck), 719 nucleotides long. RefSeq lists it as uncharacterized. The transcript is spliced from 2 exons. The record is from RefSeq and is a predicted model, not a curated record. Lineage: Eukaryota; Metazoa; Chordata; Mammalia; Rodentia; Sciuridae.